This 322-nucleotide ribosomal RNA is filed under the name uncultured eukaryote. RNAcentral's name for it is "partial 18S ribosomal RNA". It matches the Rfam family "Eukaryotic small subunit ribosomal RNA", at positions 1470 to 1796 of the family's 1831-position model. The record is from RNAcentral.
CCCUUAGAUGUUCUGGGCCGCACGCGCGCUACACUGAUGCAUUCAACGAGCCUAUCCUUGACCGACAGGUCCGGGUAAUCUUUGAAUCUGCAUCGUGACGGGGAUAGACUAUUGCAAUUAUUGGUCUUCAACGAGGAAUUCCUAGUAGACGUAGUUCAUCAGACUGCAUCGAUUACGUCCCUGCCCUUUGUACACACCGCCCGUCGCUCCUACCGAUUGAAUGCUCAGGUGAGCCAUUCGGACUUUCAUCAUGCUGGUUUCCAGUUUUGAUGAAGGAAAGUCUUGCGAACCUUAUCAUUUAGAGGAAGGAGAAGUCGUAACA